GAUGAACGCUGGCGGCGUGCCUAAUACAUGCAAGUCGAGCGAACGGACGAGAAGCUUGCUUCUCUGAUGUUAGCGGCGGACGGGUGAGUAACACGUGGAUAACCUACCUAUAAGACUGGGAUAACUUCGGGAAACCGGAGCUAAUACCGGAUAAUAUUUUGAACCGCAUGGUUCAAAAGUGAAAGACGGUCUUGCUGUCACUUCUCGAUGGAUCCGCGCUGCAUUAGCUAGUUGGUAAGGUAACGGCUUACCAAGGCAACGAUGCAUAGCCGACCUGAGAGGGUGAUCGGCCACACUGGAACUGAGACACGGUCCAGACUCCUACGGGAGGCAGCAGUAGGGAAUCUUCCGCAAUGGGCGAAAGCCUGACGGAGCAACGCCGCGUGAGUGAUGAAGGUCUUCGGAUCGUAAAACUCUGUUAUUAGGGAAGAACAUAUGUGUAAGUAACUGUGCACAUCUUGACGGUACCUAAUCAGAAAGCCACGGCUAACUACGUG
Molecule: ribosomal RNA, 497 nt
Filed under: uncultured bacterium
Lineage: Bacteria
Description: partial 16S ribosomal RNA
Rfam family: Bacterial small subunit ribosomal RNA
Source: RNAcentral